UAAUAAACCAAAUAAUUUCCCCCAUAUAUUCCUCUAAACCACAACUUAACCAUUUCUGCUUUCAACACAAUAUACAAUUAAUAGUAUCUCAAUUAUUACAAUUCCCUAGUUAAAUAGAGCUUUUUUCUUUUGUGUUUUAAAAUCUUGAACCUCCUCUUUUGCCCUAAAUUUCCCAUUGUUUGCAGUUUUGCACCUAUCUUUUUUGGUGAGGAAAAAGAAAUCUCUCUCUGCCUCAUUUUGUCACGUUGCAGCAAAGACCCUGCUUUACUUUCAGUUUCGCUUUUUCAGCAUAGCUAGGGGAAAAAAAUCUGCUCCACAAAUUUACCUCUUUGCAGCUAGCUAGCAACAGAGCCCUCUGCAAAACAGCUGAGAGCAAAUCAGCUGAGAGUCGGGACGCUGAUCAAAUCAACUUAUGGUAAUUAACCUAUGCUUAAGCUGAAAGGGGCUGUUUUUUUCUAUUUUUGCAGGCACCGGUCUAUGCAUUUGUUUUCUUUUAACACUGAUCAGCUGUAGGGCGGCCCUUCGAAGCCCCGCAGCAAGAAUUUAAACAUUUUUUUUCCCUCUAGCCAUCAGCUGGGACUCAGGAGGCAGCAAUAGAUUGGGAGUGGGCGAGCCAGAAAGUUUUUUGAAGUCACAAUCUGGUCUAUAUUUGAACGAAUAGUUCCCUCUAGUCCUAGAGUGACCUCUUUGCCUUCUUCUUUCAGAGUAUGUAAAUCUUCUGAUUCCUGAUCAAGUACCAAAUGAGAGACGCAGGUUCAUGGACUGAUCCAGAUAGGAACCAGGCCGCGAGGCUGGAGGUGAUCUGAAGGCACGACUUCCACCUCCAGGCAUGCGGAACCACAACAGUCUUGGGCACAUACAGUUUUAAGGAGAAGGCUUGUUUCUGCUGCUUUUGGCAAAAAGGAAAAACAGAUUGAUAGAAUCAAAGCCAAAAGCCACGGUGCAACAAAGAACUCAGCUGGGUGAAGGCAAAUUCCAGGUCAAGCAGUCCAAAACCAAACUGCAGAUUUAUGAUCCCAAACCAAUGGAAGGAUGAGGUCUUGGUGAAUGAGCCCCGGUUGUAAAGAACUGGAUUCCAAACCAAAGGCAUGGUAUGAGAGGCCACGUGUUUAAAUUGCUCCUAGCAACUUAAGGCUGUUUUCAUGAGACUUAAAUCUCCUGCCCACUGUGCACAACUGUACCUUAAGCUUGAGUGGUUCGUUCAGCAUCUUGAUACUUCCUCAUGAGCCGCUGACUUCAGCAGGAUGCAGAGAUCUUGGGGGGAAUAACCGUUAUGAAGCAGGCAGUGUCGUAGUUGAGUCUGACUCUGAGGGCUGACAUCAGGGACUCCACAGACUAAAAUCACUAAAGCCAAGUAAAGCAUUUUCGUACUGCAGUGUUACUAAGGUCUAAGACCCUGCUUACUUGCUGCAUUGUACAUUCUAAAAAGUACAUAAAUACUUUAUGUACAGUUAUGGAAGCCAUCUCUUUCUUAGAGAACUUUCAGAUGUUUUUUCGUUGGUUGAUAACUUUGUAAUGGCUGAAAUGGAUUUUUCAACCCAUUCCUGAGGGGGUCAAGCAGUAAGUGGUUGGGCCUUCAAACGCAAUAUGACUGAGGCAUAUCUUGACCCAAUCCUUGAUUUCUUCCUCAAAUUCUUCCAGAUAUUUCUGUUGGUGUUUUAUCCAGGCAUGUAGGAUCCAUGGUGCUAGGGAGGGCUUGUUUGGUUUAUAAAUAUCUUUUUUCAAAGUUUUCAGGCAUUCAUUAAGCCACCCCAAGAGUUUUUUCCUUGAUUGCUUUGAUCUUUUAUUCUGUAGAUUUUGUAAUGCGACUUUCAGCCAUUGUAUUUUUAUGUCAGCUCCGAGACCAUGCUUCUUUUUGUCACAAUAUUCCCACUGGAUUUUUAAUUCUUUGCAUACAGUUUUUGUCUUGGAAGUCUUUGAUGGGUCUGCUUUGAUGUCUCUAGUUCUGUAUAACACUGGGCAAUUGUUGUUAUUGCGUAGUUGUUUCUCUCUAGAAAAAUCAGAAGGUUAUAUAUGAGUAGAAGGAGACAAGAGCAACUUUGGGCUUGUAUUGAGGAUUGAUACCUUCCUCCCUCAUCACAUAUAGGAUUGACCCACAAUUUUGAACUCUGCAGAUCCACUGGGAAUUGUGCCUAAUUGCCCCACCAGACAUUUGUGGCAGGAUUACUAGGACUGAAGGGGAAGCAUAAUUUAUUUCUUAUAUUUCCAAUGAAUUUACUAAGAAUAAUUAAUUUCUCCUUGUCAAUUAUAAUUUGUCUAGGAUGUUUAGAACUGGGUGAAAAGAGUCAACUCUUAUUUUCCCCCAACCUUGUUCCAGGCAAUGUAAUUCAAUCCAAAACAUUGCCAGAAAGCAAGGUGGUGACAACAUUAGGCUUACGCAACGUGUUGCUGUUCUUCUCUUCUUGCUUCCAAGGCAGGAAGUUUUAGAUCUUCUCCCUGCAAUAUGGGGAAAACGCCCUAUAUUAAAAAGAUAAAUUUACUGACAGUGAUUAAAGACAAUUUUUUCUAACAACAGGCUCGGGGUGGAUUUUGACUGUUAUUUAUUCAUCCUUAAAUCUUAGGUACCAACUGAUGCCACUGUUUGGUGGUAUAGGGAACAUUUCUGAAAUACUGGAAAAAGAUAAAAUAGCGGUCCUUAGUGAUAUUAAUGAGGUAUUUCGGGUUUUUACUAAUUAUGCAAAGAGAUAUAACCACCCACGAGAAGUACAUAUUAGGUUUAACAAGUCGGUGUGGGAGGAGAUCUAUAAGAAAUCUCGGGACCGAGCUGUAAUAUUUAGGGGAAAACAGAUUUCAGUGCUGAGGCAAGUUCCAAGACGGGUUAGGGAAAUCAGAAGGAAUUACCAGCCUUUAACGCUACAUCUGAGGAAGAAUGGGAUUAUGUAUAGGUGGUUAUUGCCAGAAGGUCUCAUGUUUACGUGGAAUGAUAGGAAAGUGAAAAUAGAAAACCGCCGGGAUGCUCAGGAUUUUUAUGAACACAAUUUUAAAUCCACACAAUUAGAGCUGGAAUUAGAAAGGGAGGAGGAGAGUAGAAGUUCAGAGGAAUUGCAGGAAGAAAAUAGUGUGGGAAACCAAGAAGAAAGGAAGGAGGAGGGGAAAUUAGAGGAAAAAGGAGGGUGAGGCAGAAAGAUGGUGUUAUGAGAAACCCGGCAAACCAAGAAAAAAGUAUUAGGAAAAUAGGACUAAUAGGAGGAGGGGAAGAAAGGUGGUGAUGGGGGAAGAGGUGCGACUCAUUUCUUUGAAUGUUAAUGGUUUAAAUAUUCCCUCUAAAAGAAGGAAAAUACUAAAUUUAGCGAAACUUAAUUAUGAUAUUACUUGCCUUCAAGAAAUUCAUAUUAAAAAAAUUCAUGAGAAACUUCUGUUGUGUUCAAGACUUGGGAAGAUGUAUCAUUCAUCGGCAGAUAAGAGGAAACGGGGGGGGCGGUAUAUGUGAAGGAUCACUUAAAUUCUAAAUAAAUUUUUAAAGAUGAAUAGAAUUAGAAAUAAGACAAUUGAAAUGUCUAUUGGUUACUAUUUAUCCUCCGAAUGGAAAUCAGAAGUCUUUUUAUGAACGUAUAUACAAAAAACUGAUUGAAUUAAAAUAUGACCAUGUUUGCCUGA
Molecule: non-coding RNA, 3597 nt
Organism: Pantherophis guttatus
Lineage: Eukaryota; Metazoa; Chordata; Lepidosauria; Squamata; Colubridae
Source: RefSeq, a predicted model, not a curated record